GGGGUUGUGGCUCAGUGGUAGAGCAUUCGCCUCACAUGCAUGAGGCCCUGAGUUCCAUUCUCAGCCCCA
RNAcentral lists this transfer RNA (69 nucleotides) under Ictidomys tridecemlineatus (thirteen-lined ground squirrel). Its description in RNAcentral is "Spermophilus tridecemlineatus (thirteen-lined ground squirrel) tRNA". It matches the Rfam family "tRNA". From Rfam's summary of the family: Transfer RNA (tRNA) molecules are approximately 80 nucleotides in length. Their secondary structure includes four short double-helical elements and three loops (D, anti-codon, and T loops). Further hydrogen bonds mediate the characteristic L-shaped molecular structure. tRNAs have two regions of fundamental functional importance: the anti-codon, which is responsible for specific mRNA codon recognition, and the 3' end, to which the tRNAs corresponding amino acid is attached (by aminoacyl-tRNA synthetases). tRNAs cope with the degeneracy of the genetic code in two manners: having more than one tRNA (with a specific anti-codon) for a particular amino acid; and 'wobble' base-pairing, i.e. permitting non-standard base-pairing at the 3rd anti-codon position. The record is from Rfam by way of RNAcentral. Lineage: Eukaryota; Metazoa; Chordata; Mammalia; Rodentia; Sciuridae.